AAAGGAAGAAGAGCGAGAGACAAGGGAAGGCAGUUGAGACUUGGAGAGAGAGAGCCAUGGAGAUGGAGAGCGCGGCGACCUGCGAUCGAUCCCGAUGGUGCCGCGCGGCGGGGCGCUCUUCUGGCCGGCGGCGGUGCAGGAGCAGCCGAGGGCGCUCUCCCUCUGCCCCGUCGUCAGCCGGGUCGCAUCCGACGCGCUCCACCACCUCCGGCAGGCCCUCGCGGUGCCGUCGAGGGACUCGCACUCUUCUUCGACGACCUCCUCUCGUAUGCCCACGCGCGGGAUGCUUGGAUGAAAGCCAUCUAGCGCGCCCCUCUGCCCAGUCCGGGUCACAUACUUCAAGAUGUGCUCAUGGUUUGCUGAUGUGCUCCCCUACCUCGCCCGCCUCCCAAGCUGCUCGAGGACCACUACGCCGGCGCCCGGGCCGCGCUUGGGCUCCGCCUCCUGGGCUCUCAGGGCGCGGGCGUCGUGCUCUUCUGCCUGUUCCCCACCGCCAGCUGCGGCGAGGCCUGCCUCCCGGCCAUCAAUUUCUACGCCUUGCUUGCGGCACUGAAUAAUUAACAAUGCGAGGUGCCGGUUUUGUUCCGAGCGCGGCUCUCUACCCUGACACUGAUGCUUGGAUGAAAGCCCAUUCCGGGUACGCAUACUUCAAGUUGUGCUCAUUGUUCGCUGACAUGCUCCCCUGCCUCGCCCGCCUCCUCCUCCGCCUCCCCACAAUACUCGAGGACCACUACGCCAGUGCCUGGGCCGCGCUCGGGCUCUGCCUCCUGGGCUCCCAGGGUGCGGGCAUCGUGCUCAUCGGCCAGUUGCUUGCCCCCGUGCUCUUCUGCGUGUUCCCCACUGCCGGACAUGGGUUUUAUCAGCAGGGCACUGACCAACAAUGUGAGGUGCCGGUUUUGUGUCGUCUGACAGUGAUGCUUGGAUGAAAGCUAACGCGCCCCUCUCUGCCCAUUCUGGAUUUAGAUAUGGAUUAGAGCAUCUCCAACGGCUGCACAACAAUUUCGCGCCCAAUAAAGGUUACAGCACGCCACUGUAGCACUUUUAAUGCGUCGGGACCAACAUUGCUUUACUAGACGCCCAAAAACGCGCGCCCAAAAAGCACGCAGUGCAACUUGUGAAGCACGCGCAAUCUGGAGCCCAAAAUAUGCUGCGCGCGAUAGCUUUUUUCAGCACGCGCGCAAAAACUUUUAGCGCUACAGCUUGUGCUGGAGCUGUUCGGCGCCCAAAAAAACGAACUUUUAGUGCGCGGAGCUCUUUUUGGGCGCCUCUUGGAGAUGCUCUUAGAGCACUAGUUAGGAAUUUACACAUAGUUAUAUCAGCUGUAUGUGCCAUCAUAAAUUUGAUACAUGUACUUCAAGCUGUGAUCUUGGAUAGCCAGUUCGAGCUUUUAUGUAACAUGCUAUUUUUGGGUUAGGGAAACCAUUCUUAGAUUCUUUUGAAAGGGCCUGAUUGGAGAAAUGUUCUUCCUACAUGUCUGAAAAUACGUAUGAGUUAUCAACUUAUCAUGCUCCACAGAAUAUAAUACAUAUUUGCCUUAAUUUUGAAGCAAUUGAGAACUAUUCGAAUAGCGGUAACCAUCUAAUGUAAGCAUAACACACUACUAGGAAAAGGCUAAUUAGUGGCGCACCUAUUUUGGCCAUUAAUGGCGCACUAUAGGUGCGCCACUAUUAACACGCCACUAGUAAUUGUUAGUAAUGGCGCACCUUUGAUGCGCCAUUGGUAAUCCAAAUACCAAUGGCGCACCACAUGGUGCGCCACUACUAACCCUUAGGUGCUCCACUAGUAUUCCCUCC
Molecule: RNA transcript, 1793 nt
Organism: Triticum aestivum (bread wheat)
Lineage: Eukaryota; Viridiplantae; Streptophyta; Magnoliopsida; Poales; Poaceae
Exons: 6
Source: RefSeq, a predicted model, not a curated record